RNAcentral lists this ribosomal RNA (253 nucleotides) under uncultured bacterium. Its description in RNAcentral is "partial 16S ribosomal RNA". It matches the Rfam family "Bacterial small subunit ribosomal RNA", at positions 524 to 776 of the family's 1533-position model. The record is from RNAcentral.
UACGAAGGGGGCUAGCGUUGCUCGGAAUCACUGGGCGUACAGGGCGCGUAGGCGGCCUACUAAGUCGGACGUGAAAUCCCUCGGCUCAACCGGGGAACUGCGUCCGAUACUGGUGGGCUCGAAUCCGGGAGAGGGAUGUGGAAUUCCAGGUGUAGCGGUGAAAUGCGUAGAUAUCAGGAGGAACACCGGUGGCGAAGGCGGUUCUCUGGGCAUGUCCUGACGCUGAGGAGCGAAAGUGUGGGGAGCGAACAGG